This 190-nucleotide unclassified non-coding RNA is filed under the name Subeucalanus subtenuis. Its description in RNAcentral is "partial ITS2". The record is from RNAcentral. Lineage: Eukaryota; Metazoa; Arthropoda; Copepoda; Calanoida; Eucalanidae.
CAUCCAUCAGACAAUCGUUUGUCUGCUCAGGGCUGCCGUCCUGCGUGUCGCAGGGCAGAGCUUUAUGAUUUGUCGUGCGGAUUUCAUGGACUCGACUCUUGGGAGCGAUCCUGGGUUGUUGCCCGUGGCCGUGUGUACACCGUGCAGGACUCUUAGGUUGUCCGCGAAGCACUGACCCCUUCCAUCUCUC